Long non-coding RNA from Lutra lutra (Eurasian river otter), 833 nucleotides. RefSeq lists it as uncharacterized. Lineage: Eukaryota; Metazoa; Chordata; Mammalia; Carnivora; Mustelidae. The record is from RefSeq and is a predicted model, not a curated record. The transcript is spliced from 3 exons.
UGUCGCCGCGCCAAUCUGCUGGGGGAGAGGCAAGCAGACCCCAUGUUUGAGAGAAAGCCUCCAUCUCAUUCCCUUCUGUUCUGCAGCAGAGGCUGACCAACUUCAGGGCUCAUUAGAAGCUGGAAAACAAAACAAAACAAAACAAAAAAGCCUGUCCAUGAAUCCCAAAUGGAAGGAAGCUUCUUGGGCAAUUUCCUUAUGGGACAGUUCUAUCAAGCCUGAAGGUAAUACCUGGCCAGUUUUUCCUUCCUGAAUCAGAUGGAUUGCAUUUGGCCCCAUUAACAGAAACCUGACUGCAGGGGCUUAGCCAAAUAAGAUAGCAAGAUGGCCGCUUCCUCAUUGACUUCACAUUCUAGCUUCUGGGAAGAAGAAGUGGACAAACGGGUUAACAGCCCUGCUGAGUCUGACCCUUUUUAUCAGAAGAAAAAAAUUAAUCCCCAAAUCCAAAAAGCCAAACCAUCGUAAAAAGCUUCCUGAACCCCCAACUAGAAUUCCGUGUACAUCUCAGAGCUGGUCAGGUGGCCGCCCCCCAGUGGCUGUGGGGACUGGGGAGAGGAAUAUUUGCAUGCUAUGCAUUGUCUGCUUUAGUGACUUGGCCACUGAAGCAAAAGGGGAGGGAUGGCACCUAUCAGUCUGGGUAAGUCAGAACCCAUUGGAGCUGGAGGUGGUCAGUCUCACAAACCCUGAAGAUGCUACAGAAUGUCUUGGGAUGACAGUGAAGAGUGAGGACAAAGAGAAACAUCCAGGAAAAAGAAAAAAAUAUAUAGAUAUAGAUAUAGAUGUAAAUUGAGUGGUACUUCUUUGGUUAAUUCUGUAUCAGUGCUUCUCUACCU